RNAcentral lists this long non-coding RNA (714 nucleotides) under Elaeis guineensis (African oil palm). RNAcentral's name for it is "long non-coding RNA (EGUI_LNC075182)". Lineage: Eukaryota; Viridiplantae; Streptophyta; Magnoliopsida; Arecales; Arecaceae. The record is from RNAcentral.
CCUACGUGAAUAUGGUUACCGUAUAAUUCAUCCCUUUUGACCUCUGUGUUUAGGACGACUCAGGGUUAAACUGUCAACCCUGAUGAGAUCAUCCGAAUCGUGCUCAACUCAAUUAGUCCUGUGACUCCUCACUAGGACUAUCCUGGCCAAGGUUUUGCUAAAUUGAAACACGACUGUACACAGCUCCUAAACUGGAGUGAUCAAUCCCAUCUUGACACACGCACCGACAAGUCAAGUACUUGACUACACCCAGCAGCCUUCCGUCACUGAAUUAAAAAUUCAGGUGGUCCAGUGCCUAAGUACAGUGAGUUGCUUGCAAGUCACUGUGGCGGUCUCAGGUCGGAGGGACAUUUAUACCCAUAUCCCAUCGGAGCAAAUCUUGAUAGCAGAAAUAGCUCCGGAGUCGGUCGCGUUCAGUGUAGAUGUACCAUUACAUCUCACCUGUAUGCCAUACCAGUGUCUCCACACUCCUUGGUUAUGAGGACAACCAACCCAUAUGGCAUACAAUGACCUAUGCUCGAUAAACGUUGUCGUCCUUGGUAACAACGUAUCAUUUGGUCGCGAACAGGUUUAAGGACUAAGCGACAAAUCCUCCUUUGUCGAGUCUAAAUAGUCCUAAGGACUUCACCACAACACAGGAGUUCAUUAGAAGAUAAAACAUUUGUGAUGAAAAAAUACCAAAAUAAUUUUUAUUUAUUUAUAAUUCAUGUACUA